Molecule: non-coding RNA, 95 nt
Organism: Punica granatum (pomegranate)
Lineage: Eukaryota; Viridiplantae; Streptophyta; Magnoliopsida; Myrtales; Lythraceae
Source: Rfam
CACUGGAGGCAGCGGUUCAUCGAUCUCUUCCUGGGAAUUUGCUGUCUCCCAAUAGCAGCAAUUCAUGAAUCGGUCGAUAAACCUCUGCAUCCAGC